UACAGAGGGUGCGAACGUUGUUCGGAAUUACUGGGCGUAAAGCGUGUGUAGGCUGUUUUGUAAGUCGGGCGUGAAAGCCCCGGGCUCAACCCGGGAAGUGCACUCGAUACUGCGAAACUUGAGUUUCGGAGAGGUUGGUAGAAUUCUUGGUGUAGAGGUGAAAUUCGUAGAUAUCAAGAGGAAUACCGGUGGCGAAGGCGGCCAACUGGACGAAAACUGACGCUGAGACACGAAAGCAUGGGGAGCAAACAG
RNAcentral lists this ribosomal RNA (252 nucleotides) under uncultured bacterium. RNAcentral's name for it is "partial 16S ribosomal RNA". It matches the Rfam family "Bacterial small subunit ribosomal RNA", at positions 524 to 775 of the family's 1533-position model. The record is from RNAcentral.